Molecule: ribosomal RNA, 445 nt
Filed under: uncultured bacterium
Lineage: Bacteria
Description: partial 16S ribosomal RNA
Rfam family: Bacterial small subunit ribosomal RNA
Source: RNAcentral
GUAAGGAAUAUUGGACAAUGGACGCAAGUCUGAUCCAGCCAUGCCGCGUGAAGGAUUAAGGUCCUCUGGAUUGUAAACUUCUUUUAUAAGGGACGAAAAAAGGCUUUUCUAAGUCGUCUGACGGUACCUUAUGAAUAAGCACCGGCUAACUCCGUGCCAGCAGCCGCGGUAAUACGGAGGGUGCAAGCGUUAUCCGGAUUCACUGGGUUUAAAGGGUGCGUAGGCGGGCAGGUAAGUCAGUGGUGAAAUCCUAGAGCUUAACUCUAGAACUGCCAUUGAUACUAUCUGGCUUGAAUAUUGUGGAGGUAAGCGGAAUAUGUCAUGUAGCGGUGAAAUGCUUAGAUAUGACAUAGAACACCUAUUGCGAAGGCAGCUUACUACGCAUAUAUUGACGCUGAGGCACGAAAGCGUGGGGAUCAAACAGGAUUAGAAACCCCAGUAGUCC